GACUUUAUAGUAUAAUAAGUAUAAUUGUUUUAAGUGCAAUUGGUUUUUAAGUUAGAGUUU
RNAcentral lists this transfer RNA (60 nucleotides) under Neofoleyellides sp. XM-2022. Its description in RNAcentral is "tRNA-Leu". The record is from RNAcentral. Lineage: Eukaryota; Metazoa; Nematoda; Chromadorea; Rhabditida; Onchocercidae.